AUUUGAUUGAAUUCACAAACCCAAUGCUGCAGAAUCCAGUCUAUGCUGAAACACACAUUCUUCCUGCGCAGAAAACUAGUGGCUCCUUUUCAGCUAUUAUGGCCUGAAUUCAUGCUUGACAGUGGUGAAUGGUCAAAGAGAAAAGAACUUGUAGAGAAGAGAUCAGCUCUUGCUGCUGCAACUUGACCACAUGAGGUGUAGCAAAUACUACCUAGUCAGAUUUUCUGUUUGCCAAUUACGUGCUUACCAUCAAUAGCUUCAAUAAACCCAAUAGACAUCUUCACCAGAGUAACCACUGUGGGUCCAGUGCAGUGCUCACUGAAGUACAUUGAAAUGUUUUCAUUACGUCCAAAUGCAUAUUGGAUCGGAUCUGAUGC
Mauremys mutica (yellowpond turtle) is the source of this 377-nucleotide long non-coding RNA. RefSeq lists it as uncharacterized. The record is from RefSeq and is a predicted model, not a curated record. NCBI's taxonomy places the organism in Eukaryota, Metazoa, Chordata, Testudines, Geoemydidae. The transcript has 3 exons.